UACGUAGGGUGCAAGCGUUGUCCGGAAUUAUUGGGCGUAAAGAGCUCGUAGGCGGUCUGUCGCGUCGGCUGUGAAAUCCCGAGGCUCAACCUCGGGUCUGCAGUCGAUACGGGCAAACUAGAGUAUUGCAGGGGAGACUGGAAUUCCUGGUGUAGCGGUGAAAUGCGCAGAUAUCAGGAGGAACACCGAUGGCGAAGGCAGGUCUCUGGGCCGAUACUGACGCUGAGGAGCGAAAGCGUGGGGAGCGAACAGG
This 253-nucleotide ribosomal RNA is filed under the name uncultured bacterium. Its description in RNAcentral is "partial 16S ribosomal RNA". It matches the Rfam family "Bacterial small subunit ribosomal RNA", at positions 524 to 776 of the family's 1533-position model. The record is from RNAcentral.